UAGGUGGCGAGCGUUAUCCGGAAUUAUUGGGCGUAAAGAGGGAGCAGGCGGCACUAAGGGUCUGUGGUGAAAGCCCGAAGCUUAACUUCGGUAAGCCAUGGAAACCGUAGAGCUAGAGUGUGUGAGAGGAUCGUGGAAUUCCAUGUGUAGCGGUGAAAUGCGUAGAUAUAUGGAGGAACACCAGUGGCGAAGGCGACGAUCUGGCGCACAACUGACGCUCAGUCCCGAAAGCGUGGGGAGCAAA
This 244-nucleotide ribosomal RNA is filed under the name uncultured bacterium. RNAcentral describes it as "partial 16S ribosomal RNA". It matches the Rfam family "Bacterial small subunit ribosomal RNA", at positions 528 to 772 of the family's 1533-position model. The record is from RNAcentral.